This 372-nucleotide ribosomal RNA is filed under the name uncultured organism. Its description in RNAcentral is "bacterial SSU rRNA". It matches the Rfam family "Bacterial small subunit ribosomal RNA", at positions 526 to 896 of the family's 1533-position model. The record is from RNAcentral.
CGUAGGGUGCGAGCGUUGCCCGGAUUUAUUGGGCGUAAAGGGCGCGCAGGCGGCUCGGCACGUCCGUUGUGAAAUCGCCCGGCUCAACUGGGCAGGGUCAGCGGAUACGGCCGAGCUGGAGCAAGCCAGGGGGCAAUGGAAUUCCCGGUGUAGUGGUGGAAUGCGUAGAUAUCGGGAGGAACACCAGUGGCGAAGGCGGUUGCCUGGAGCUUUGCUGACGCUGAGGCGCGAAAGCGUGGGGAGCGAUCCGGAUUAGAUACCCGGGUAGUCCACGCCGUAAACGAUGCGGACUAGGUGUCGGGGGUAUCGACCCCCUCGGCGCCGCAGCUAACGCAUUAAGUCCGCCGCCUGGGGACUACGGCCGCAAGGCUA